This 318-nucleotide ribosomal RNA is filed under the name uncultured bacterium. RNAcentral describes it as "bacterial SSU rRNA". It matches the Rfam family "Bacterial small subunit ribosomal RNA", at positions 28 to 346 of the family's 1533-position model. The record is from RNAcentral.
GACGAACGCUGGCGGCGUGCUUAACACAUGCAAGUCGAACGGUGAAGUCAGUGCUUGCACUGGCGGAUCAGUGGCGAACGGGUGAGUAACACGUGAGUAACCUGCCCCUGACUCUGGGAUAACCCCGGGAAACGGAGCUAAUACCGGAUACGAACCACUCAGGCAUCUGAGAGGUUGGAAAGAUUUAUCGGUCAGGGAUGGACUCGCGGCCUAUCAGCUUGUUGGUGGGGAACGGCCCACCAAGGCGACGACGGGUAGCCGGCCUGAGAGGGCGACCGGCCACACUGGGACUGAGACACGGCCCAGACUCCUACGGGA